AGGCGAUCCCAAAUUAUUCCAGCCAGAAGAAAAACAAGACAAUACUUUGGAGCUUGAAAGGAAACAAGGGAAGGUGGUUAAAAUGUGAUCCUAACUAAGGACCCACCCUGCUAAUCACCCAAGUGAGAUCAGCCAACUCUGCUGUGCAGUUUCCCCCUUCUCCUCUCCUGGUACCUGCAGGUUGGGGGCAGUUCUCAACCUAUCAUGCUUUCUAUUUCCCUGCAGCUUUCCUUUUUUUUUUUUUUUUUUUUUGUCUUUUUAGGGCCACACCAGUGGCAUAUGGAGUUUCCCAGGCUAGGGGUCAAAUCUGGGGCUAUAGCUGCUGGCCUACACCACAGCCAUGGCAAGGCCAGAUCCGAGCCACAUCUGCGACCUCCACCAUAGCUCAUGGCAAUGCCAGAUCCUUAACCCACUCAGCGAGGCCAGGAAUUGAACCUGCAUCCUCAUGUUUCCUAGUCGGAUUCAAUUCCACUGCGCCAGGAUGGUAACUCCCACAGCAGCAGCUUUCAUAGCAGCUCUUUUGGCGAUUAAAAUGCUACAAGCUAUAAUUCGGAAGACUGCAAAACGGAAGACCAGUACCAGGUUUCUUAGUAACUGAGGGACUCAGCCUGAAGUUUACUACUGGGGACUGUUUGCUCUACAGCAUACAGGCCAGAGGGGCGAAAUUGGAGGGCAAAGGGGUUGUUUCCUUUUCACUCUGUAACUAAUUGAUUUGCCCUCGUGCGCCUCAAGAUGACACUCAUUGAUGGUCUGUGCAGUAUGGCCUACGCUAUUUUGCAGCUGUGCUGGGCAAUAUUACAUCAAGUUCCUUACUCCCUGAUGUAGCACGCACCAUCUUGCAAAGGCCUAGAAGCUCCGCGCUCGGAAAACGUGCGCUGGGAAGCAAAGCCGGAAGAGUGCGGCCGCAGCGGCGCUGCUCGCCGAAGUCCAAUCAGAGAAGAUCCCAUCAAGGGAGGGGAGCCUUACAAAGUGUUAAAAAGGGCUUUAACUGGGUGGGUCGCUCCAGUGCGUCUACAGGACUCGGGGAAGGAGGGAGGCAGUUCUUGGUCAUCAGGCGUCCCUUGCUCAUUAGGAGACCCUUGCUCGUCAGGAGACGCAUCCUAGUCAUGUCUUCAAAGGGUGAGUCCUUGGCGGAGUUCCAUGGUGGCUCAGCGGGUUAAGGGUGUGGUAUUGUCACUUCUGUGGCCCUGGUUAUAACUGUGGCAUGGGGUCCAUCUCUGGCCCGGGGAACACUGACAUAGCCAAAAAUGAAAAGAAAAAAAAAAAGUGAAUCCUUAGCAGGAGGGCCUGCGUGGGCAACGGGCCAAUGGUAGGUGAGGCUGGGCAGCGGGUCUGGGCAGGGCUUACCUGGAGUGAAUUGAAGUUUUCUGUUUGCUGUGACAUUUGGUGCUGAGACUUGGAAAGGCGGAAAGCUAACCAAACCAGACCCUAAAACGGCCUUGGAGAAGGAGCUCAGGGUAGCCUUUGUCACCGGUGGCGGUACAGUGCAUUUUCUUUUUUCUUUUUUUUUUUUUUUUUGCCAUUUCUUGGACCCUCCCCCCCGCGGCAUAUGGAGGUUCCCAGGCUAGGGGUCCAAUCGGAGCAGUAGCCACCGGCCUACACCAGAGUCACAGCAACGCAGGAUCUGAGCCGCUCUGCAACCUACACCACAGCUCGCGGCAACGCCAGAUCCUUAACCCAGGGAUCGAACCCGCAACCUCAUGGUUCCCAGUCGGAUUGGUUAACCACUGCGCCACGACGGGAACUCCAUGCAUUUUCAAUUCACAACCUUGCUUGGCCUGGUAUUUUGCCCAUUUUUUCAUCAUGAAGUCAAUUCCAUUGAGGGCUGAGCCAGUGGCGAGUCCAUCUUGGGGGCCCAAGUCUAAGACUGAGGGCGGGGGAGCUUCCUCAGAUCACAACGGGAAAUGCAAAUGUUAAUGUAUAGAAAUUCCCAGAUGUUAGAUUUUUCUUAGAUGACAUUUCCUCGUAUUCGUUUAUUUAUUUAUUUUUAUUUCCUGGUUUUAGUUUUUGACAUCUCCUAAUAUGUGUGUUUGGGGUCCUUGUUUAGGUGGCAGAUACAUGUUUGUAGGGGUCUUGACCCAUCUGGGCAUACCCAGAUACCCAGGCCAGUAUCUGGACCUGUGCAUUGAGUUGUGAUUAUAGUUUAUAUGGCAGAUGCCCCCAAAAGGUGUUCAGGGUGCAUUGACUUCUGCGGUGUCUGAAAGACAUGUGGCUGGGAGCCCUGAGUUGGGAGCCGGUUCUGCCUCCAUAUUUCAUGAGAUUCCUGGGGCGGGCGCGGUGGGGGGGGGGGACCAGCAGCCAAAUAUUCGGAGCAGUCCUGGGAGAGCUCUGCAAAGGGGCCUAAGCUUUAUGCCUGGAAACAAAGUCCUUGUCGGAAGGCUGCAGGUUCUACACUGACCUGAACUUCCAGGAGCAAGUCAGAAGGGUGCGUGGAGGUGGAUAGGUCAAGUGUGAACCUAAAUGUGAGGCCUGAGACCAAAGUCUCUUUUCUUAUUCUCUAUCUGUCGCAGAGCCCCAAGAUGGCCCAGAGCCCCAAGAUGGCCCAGAGCCCCAACAAGGCCGGAGGCGCAAGAGAACCAGGUUCAACAAGAACCAAUACAAGAUUCUUAUUGAUGCCUUUGAAGCUGACGCUUACCCUGAUAUUAACGUCCGAGUAGAACUCGCAAAUCAAAUACAAAUUCCUGAGCCAAGAAUCCAGGUAAAAGCAUAAAUCUGUGCUCUUCCAGAGGAGGGUGGAUCUGGGUGAGGAAUCAAUGCAUGUGUUUUAAUACUGGCUUAAGAAACUCUUAAUCCUCUUAAUAUCCAUGUGAGGUGGGCAUUAUCAUCCCCAUUUACCAGAUUAGGAAAACAAAGGUGUCAUAAUUUAGGUUACUACUUUGGCAAGGGGUAGAGUCUAAACUGGCUUCUAUGGGUUAUACUGUCAAAUAUUUACUAUAUUAGACUUUGAAACUGAGAAACUUCAAAAUAUUUGCUAAUUUAUUAAAAAUAACAAUAAUAAACUCAUUGCUUGUUAAUUUAAGUAACUAUCUUUCAAGAAAAGCAACCACAGGAAUUCCUGUUGUAGCUCAGCAGGUUACAAGCCUGACUAUUAUUCAUGAGGACAUAAGUUCCAUCCUUGGCCUCACUCGGUGAGUUAAGGAUCCGGCGUUGCCGUGAGCUAUGGUGUAGGUUGCAGACUCAGCUCAGAUCCUGUGUUACUGUGGCUGUGGUGUAGGCUGGCAGCUGCAGCUCCAAUUUAACCCCUAUCCUGGGAACUUCAUAUGCCAU
Molecule: long non-coding RNA, 3267 nt
Filed under: Sus scrofa (pig)
Lineage: Eukaryota; Metazoa; Chordata; Mammalia; Artiodactyla; Suidae
Description: lncRNA (ENSSSCG00060065584.1)
Source: RNAcentral